Molecule: long non-coding RNA, 205 nt
Filed under: Capsicum annuum
Lineage: Eukaryota; Viridiplantae; Streptophyta; Magnoliopsida; Solanales; Solanaceae
Description: long non-coding RNA (CANN_LNC002850)
Source: RNAcentral
GGACUGGUUUAGGUUGUGACAAAGUUGGUAUGAGAGCAUAGGUUUGGUUUCAUUGGCUAUCCAUAAAGCCGUAUCAAGUAGGGUCUCUUUUAUGGGUGUGUAGCAUGCUACACUUACAAGGGAGAGACUACGAGACAUUUAAGAAUGUUUUCCUUUCUUGUUGUUUUAUUUUUGGGCUGUAGAGUCUAGGAUGUUUAAAUCCCUU